CCUACGGGAGGCAGCAGUGAGGAAUAUUGGUCAAUGGGCGCGAGCCUGAACCAGCCAAGUAGCGUGAAGGAUGACUGCCCUACGGGUUGUAAACUUCUUUUAUAAAGGAAUAAAGUGAGGCACGUGUGCCUUUUUGUGUGUACUUUAUGAAUAAGGAUCGGCUAACUCCGUGCCAGCAGCCGCGGUAAUACGGAGGAUCCGAGCGUUAUCAGGAUUUAUUGGGUUUAACGGGAGCGUAGAUGGGUUGGUAAGGCGGUUGUGAAAGUUUGCGGCUCAACCGUAAAAUUGCAAUUGAUACUGGCAGCCUUGAGUACAGUUGAGGUAGGCGGAAUUCGUGGUGUAGCGGUGAAAUGCUUAGAUAUCACGAAGAACUCCGAUUGCGAAGGCAGCUUACUAAACUGCCACUGACAUUGAUGCUCGAAAGUGUGGGUAUCAAACAGGAUUAGAUACCCGGGUAGUC
Molecule: ribosomal RNA, 460 nt
Filed under: uncultured bacterium
Lineage: Bacteria
Description: partial 16S ribosomal RNA
Rfam family: Bacterial small subunit ribosomal RNA
Source: RNAcentral